ACUCUGGGAUAACCCCGGGAAAUCGGAGCUAAUACCGGAUACGAGACGCACAGGCAUCUGUAGCGUCUGGAAAGAAUUUCGGUCGGGGAUGGACUCGCGGCCUAUCAGCUUGUUGGNGGGGUAAUGGCCCACCAAGGCGACGACGGGUAGCCGGCCUGAGAGGGCGACCGGCCACACUGGGACUGAGACACGGCCCAGACUCCUACGGGAGGCAGCAGUGGGGAAUAUUGCACAAUGGGCGAAAGCCUGAUGCAGCGACGCCGCGUGGGGGAUGAAGGCCUUCGGGUUGUAAACCCCUUUCAGCAGGGAAGAAGCGAGAGUGACGGUACCUGCAGAAGAAGCGCCGGCUAA
RNAcentral lists this ribosomal RNA (351 nucleotides) under uncultured bacterium. Its description in RNAcentral is "bacterial SSU rRNA". It matches the Rfam family "Bacterial small subunit ribosomal RNA", at positions 135 to 500 of the family's 1533-position model. The record is from RNAcentral.